CGAAAGCCUGACGGAGCAAUCUCGCGUGAGGGAUGACGGCCUAUGGGUUGUAAACCUCUUUUUUCAGGGAGGAAUAAAAUGACGUGUACCUGAAGAAUAAGCAUCGGCUAACUCCGUGCCAGCAGCCGCGGUAAGACGGAGGAUGCAAGUGUUAUCCGGAAUCACUGGGCGUAAAGCGUCUGUAGGUGGUUUAAUAAGUCAACUGUUAAAUCUUGAAGCUCAACUUCAAAAUCGCAGUCGAAACUAUUAGACUAGAGUAUAGUAGGGGUAAAGGGAAUUUCCAGUGGAGCGGUGAAAUGCGUAGAUAUUGGAAAGAACACCGAU
RNAcentral lists this ribosomal RNA (324 nucleotides) under unidentified diatom plastid. RNAcentral describes it as "bacterial SSU rRNA". It matches the Rfam family "Bacterial small subunit ribosomal RNA", at positions 376 to 713 of the family's 1533-position model. Lineage: Eukaryota; Bacillariophyta. The record is from RNAcentral.